Molecule: ribosomal RNA, 503 nt
Filed under: uncultured bacterium
Lineage: Bacteria
Description: partial 16S ribosomal RNA
Rfam family: Bacterial small subunit ribosomal RNA
Source: RNAcentral
AACGAACGCUGGCGGCACGUUUUAAGCAUGCAAGUCGAAUGGCAGCAGGGGCAACUCUGUGAGAAUGGCGAACGGGUGAGUAACACGUAGGUGAUCUGCCUUGAGGAUGGGGAUAGCCUGUGGAAACACAGGGUAAUACCGAAUGAGCUGACGAGACUCUGGUUUUGUUAGUAAAGGUGCUACGGCACCGCCUUGAGAGGAGCCUGCAGCUGAUUAGCUAGUUGGUGGGGUAAGAGCUUACCAAGGCGACGAUCAGUAGCCGGCCUGGGAGGGUGUACGGCCACACUGGAACUGAGACACGGUCCAGACUCCUACGGGAGGCAGCAGCUAAGAAUCUUCCGCAAUGGGCGAAAGCCUGACGGAGCGAUGCCGCGUGAUCGAUGAAGGUCGAGAGAUUGUAAAGAUCUUUUCUACAUGAGGAAUAAGUCUGGGAGGGAAUGCCCGGAUGAUGACGUUAGUGUAGGAAUAAGCCCCGGCUAAUUACGUGCCAGCCGCCGCGGUAA